GAUGAACGCUGGCGGCGUGCCUAAUACAUGCAAGUCGAGCGAACAGACGAGGAGCUUGCUCCUCUGACGUUAGCGGCGGACGGGUGAGUAACACGUGGAUAACCUACCUAUAAGACUGGGAUAACUUCGGGAAACCGGAGCUAAUACCGGAUAACAUGUUGAACCGCAUGGUUCAACAGUGAAAGACGGUCUUGCUUUCACUUAUAGAUGGAUCCACGCCACAUUAGCUAGUUGGUAAGGUAACGGCUUACCAAGGCAACGAUGCGUAGCCGACCUGGGAGGGUGAUCGGCCACACUGGAACUGAGACACGGUCCAGACUCCUACGGGAGGCAGCAGUAGGGAAUCUUCCGCAAUGGGCGAAAGCCUGACGAAGCAACGCCACGUGAGUGAUGAAGGUCUUCGGAUCGUAAAACUCUGUUAUUAGGGAAGAACAAAUGUGUAAGUAACUAUGCACGUCUUGACGGUACCUUAUCAGAAAGCCACGGCUAACUACGUG
Molecule: ribosomal RNA, 497 nt
Filed under: uncultured bacterium
Lineage: Bacteria
Description: partial 16S ribosomal RNA
Rfam family: Bacterial small subunit ribosomal RNA
Source: RNAcentral